CGGCGCGUAAACAAACGCGUUGCGCGCCGCACUCAGUCGGCUUUCUGGGCAGCGGACGAGCUCACAAGCACCUGGGCAGUUCGAGGCGAGCUCUGUGUGUCCGUGCGUGUCUCUCUGCCUGUGUCCGCGUGUGCGUGUCUCUGGCAACGGGCUCAUCACAGUUUGUCCCAUGGCCACAGUAAGCCAGCAGCAGCGGCAGCGGCGUGCUGGGGACUGCGCGCUGCCCGGGCAGCAGGGCUCCUCGUCCUCCUCGUCCCUCUCCUCGGGGCUGAUGGGACCCGAGGGCGGCAUGGACGAGGAGGCGCUGCAGGAGCUCUACGCGUGGAUCGACACCGUGCCGCUGUCUCGGCCCAAGCGCAACAUCGCCCGCGACUUCAGCGACGGCGUGAUGGUGGCUGAGCUGGUCAAGCACUUCUUUCCCCGGAUCGUGGAGAUGCACAAUUACAUCCCGGCCAACUCAGUGCAGCAAAAAAUCAGUAACUGGAAUACGCUCAACAGGAAGGUGCUCUCCAAGCUGUGCGGAAUGCACGUCCCGCUGGACGUGGUGCGCAGCGUGACGGGGUGCAGCCCCGGCGUGGUGGAGCUGGUGCUGCACUCGCUGCGGCUCAAGCUUCAGGAGAAGACGCAGGACAAGCAGCAGCGGCGCCAGCAGCAGCAGCAACAUCAUCAGCAGGGCAAGGGCCCUAUGAAAAAUGGGCAGGAUGUGGAAUACUACAGUACCAACAUGCAAUCCCCAGCCCGAUCCCCACACGUGCAAAGGGGAGCAGGAGGAACCAACAACCCCGCCAACCACCAUGUGGCAGCCAAAGGACCCUGGAUGCCUGAGAGCAUGACCACCGCGGAGAUGGAGCGAGAUAAAGUAUUCCCUCUCGAGACCAUGAGGGAUGGCGACAGCUUGUGGAAGGUCACCUGGGACAGGGCCUGACACCCCUCAAGCACGGCUCGACCCCGAAGCGAGACUUUUGCUACAAGAACGAGACCAGGCACUGAGGGCAGCCCAGGAGACCGUGCUGCUGCUGCAGGCGAAGGUGCAGCGGCUGGAGCAGCUGGUGCAGAUAAAGGACGCACGCAUCGCCGAGCUGACGAAGACACAGCCUCCGGCACCAGAUCGUCGCCUUGCCAAGAGAUGAUGACAUCGAUGAUUCUUCCAACUCCCCUGCCGCUGGGUAGCAGCUCGGCAGUCAAUGCCCUCGCCACUCAGCCAGUUUGCACAGCAUUGACAGUUCAUUUACCACAGUGGGCCUGUAAUUUAUACAAGUAAUUAUCAAAGCGUCAAACACUACACGCUCAGCUGAUUGGCACGUCGGGCAAGGUGACAUCGUGGGAAUAUUGAGAUGCCAUGAGGUCUAAAUGUGUCUAAUCAGAGCAUGUAUUCGUGUUUGCCUUGUCCUGCACAUUGUUCUUUUCUCAGCUGAUAGAGAUUUAUAUUGGCUAAAAAUGAUGAAAACGUGAAUUACUCAAGUGUCUCUUGUGAUGUAAUGUGGAUACGAAACACUUGAUAUAUUCUGUAAGCAAAGGUAUACAAUGCGUAAUUUAAAAUGUCACGUGUAAUGAAUAAUAAAAUAACUUCCCA
Lethenteron reissneri (Far Eastern brook lamprey) is the source of this 1573-nucleotide RNA transcript. It is a transcript of the gene named sperm flagellar 1, with no coding region annotated. NCBI's taxonomy places the organism in Eukaryota, Metazoa, Chordata, Hyperoartia, Petromyzontiformes, Petromyzontidae. The record is from RefSeq and is a predicted model, not a curated record.